UCGAGGAUCUUCGUCAAUGGGCGAAAGCCUGAACGAGCGAUGCCGCGUGCGCGAUGAAGGCCUUCGGGUUGUAAAGCGCUGUCGAGGGGGAGAAAAGCCGAAAGGUUUGAUCUAUCCCUGGAGGAAGCUCGGGCUAAGUUCGUGCCAGCAGCCGCGGUAAGACGAACCGAGCGAACGUUGUUCGGAAUCACUGGGCUUAAAGGGCGCGUAGGCGGGCUGUCAAGUCUGGGGGGAAAUCCUACGGCUCAA
RNAcentral lists this ribosomal RNA (249 nucleotides) under uncultured Gemmata sp. RNAcentral describes it as "partial 16S ribosomal RNA". It matches the Rfam family "Bacterial small subunit ribosomal RNA", at positions 355 to 612 of the family's 1533-position model. The record is from RNAcentral. Lineage: Bacteria; Pseudomonadati; Planctomycetota; Planctomycetia; Gemmatales; Gemmataceae.